Molecule: ribosomal RNA, 834 nt
Filed under: Bacillus sp. NTUIOB YSC4C
Lineage: Bacteria; Bacillati; Bacillota; Bacilli; Caryophanales; Bacillaceae
Description: bacterial SSU rRNA
Rfam family: Bacterial small subunit ribosomal RNA
Source: RNAcentral
CUAUACUGCAGUCGUGCGGACCUUUUAGAGCUUGCUUUUAUACGUUAGCGGCGGACGGGUGAGUUCACGUGGGCAACCUGCCUGUAAGAUCGGGAUUCGCCCGGAAACCGGGGCUAAUACCGGAUAGUUUUUUCCUCCGCAUGGAAGAAAAAGGAAAGACGGCUUCUGCUGUCACUUACAGAUGGGCCCGCGGCGCAUUAGCUAGUUGGUGGGGUAACGGCUCACCAAGGCAACGAUGCGUAGCCGACCUGAGAGGGUGAUCGGCCACAUUGGGACUGAGACACGGCCCAAACUCCUACUGGAGGCAGCAGUAGGGAAUCUUCUUCAAUGGACGAAAGUCUGACGGAGCAACGCCGCGUGAGUGAAGAAGGCCUUCGGGUCGUAAAACUCUGUUGCCGGGGAAGAACAAGUGCCGUUCGAACAGGGCGGCGCCUUGACGGUACCCGGCCAGAAAGCCACGGCUAACUACGUGCCAGCAGCCGCGGUAAUACGUAGGUGGCAAGCGUUGUCCGGAAUUAUUGUGGCGUAAAGCGCGCGCAGGCGGCUUCUUAAGUCUGAUGUGAAAUCUUGCGGCUCAACCGCAAGCAGUCAUUGUGAAACUGUGGAGGCUUGAGUGCGCAAGAGGAGAGUGCAAAUUCUCACGUGUAUCGCGUGAAAAUGCGUAUAGAUGUGUGAGAAAACACCAGUGUGCGAAAGCGGCUCUCUGGUCUGUAACUGACGCUGAGACGCGCAAGCGUGUGGGAGCGAAACACGAUAAGAUACCCCUGUGUAGUCCACACCCGUAUAAGCAUGAGUGCUAUAAUGUGUUGAGGGGUUUUUCGCCCCUUUACUGCU